GGACACAGGGAGGAGAUUCAGGUCUGUGAGCACCUUCAUGCCUGUACUUUCAGCAUCCGCUCGGACCCAGAGCUCUGACCCAGAAGGUCUCAUGUAAAGGCUCAGGCACAGAGCAGAGCAGACGAUGGCGAUAGGCCCAAAGACAUCGAUGGGACAGAGGGACUGGUGCUUCUGAAUGCCAUCGGCUGAAGUCUGCUGAAUAAUCCAGUGGGUAAAAUGGCUUCCCGGCAUCACCCAGAUGGACAGUUCCCACUGGUUGAGCGUGAAUGGAAGGGAUUGACUCACCAUGUGCGGAAGAGCUAAGAGCUGCGCUUACCCGCAUCCUUCUCUUGGCUGGCGUCACA
This is a long non-coding RNA of Anguilla anguilla (European eel), 344 nucleotides long. RefSeq lists it as uncharacterized. The record is from RefSeq and is a predicted model, not a curated record. Lineage: Eukaryota; Metazoa; Chordata; Actinopteri; Anguilliformes; Anguillidae. The transcript is spliced from 4 exons.